GCGCGGGGGAACGGGAGGCUGCAGGAUGGUCAAGCUGACGGCGGAGCUGAUCGAGCAGGCGGCGCAGUACACCAACGCGGUGCGCGACCGGGAGCUGGACCUCCGGGGGUGAUCUGGACCCUCUGGCAUCUCUUAAAUCGCUGACUUACCUAAGUAUCCUAAGAAAUCCGGUAACCAAUAAGAAGCAUUACAGAUUGUAUGUGAUUUAUAAAGUUCCGCAAGUCAGAGUACUGGAUUUCCAGAAAGUGAAACUAAAAUUUUAAUCCAGGUGCUGGUUUGCCAACUGACAAAAAGAAAGGUGGGCCAUCUCCAGGGGAUGUAGAAGCAAUCAAGAAUGCCAUAGCAAAUGCUUCAACUCUGGCUGAAGUGGAGAGGCUGAAGGGGUUGCUGCAGUCUGGUCAGAUCCCUGGCAGAGAACGCAGAUCGGGGCCCACUGAUGAUGGUGAAGAAGAGAUGGAAGAAGACACAGUCACAAACGGGUCCUGAGCAGUGAGGCAGAUGUAUAAUAAUAGGCCCUCUUGGAACAAGUCUUGCUUUUCGAACAUGGUAUAAUAGC
This 556-nucleotide small RNA is filed under the name Pan troglodytes (chimpanzee). RNAcentral describes it as "processed transcript". Lineage: Eukaryota; Metazoa; Chordata; Mammalia; Primates; Hominidae. The record is from RNAcentral.